Long non-coding RNA from Oreochromis niloticus (Nile tilapia), 294 nucleotides. RefSeq lists it as uncharacterized. Lineage: Eukaryota; Metazoa; Chordata; Actinopteri; Cichliformes; Cichlidae. The transcript is spliced from 2 exons. The record is from RefSeq and is a predicted model, not a curated record.
GGAUUUUGCUGUAGAGACCAGACAUCUGUGGAUACACAAAUAACAGCUGUAUAACUAAGCUUUUUAUACCUCAAGCAUUACAAUGGAGCAGUUACUUUUAUUGUCCUCUACCUGUGUCUCAUAGCUCUCCUGUAGAGAUCCCAGGUGGCGGACGAAGCUCAUGGCCAGGCCACACCACUUCUCAGCUUCGGGGUAUUGAGCCAAGCUGUACAGCAAAAUCCCAGUGUUCCAAGCCUGAGUCAGCAACCACAAGGUCUCCAUCUCUGGGAAGUCGUCCGGCUACGGAGAAGAGCA